Molecule: long non-coding RNA, 65 nt
Organism: Etheostoma spectabile (orangethroat darter)
Lineage: Eukaryota; Metazoa; Chordata; Actinopteri; Perciformes; Percidae
Exons: 3
Source: RefSeq, a predicted model, not a curated record
UCAUAUUCGGAAUAAUAGUGAAAUAUUGGUGUGCAUGUAAACAUACUCAUUGUAAUCAUUGAGAA